Molecule: RNA transcript, 11306 nt
Organism: Mus musculus (house mouse)
Lineage: Eukaryota; Metazoa; Chordata; Mammalia; Rodentia; Muridae
Gene: Trappc8
Gene name: trafficking protein particle complex 8
Exons: 30
Source: RefSeq, marked validated
CGGGGGGGGGGGGAGUAGGAGGAGAAGGAGGAAGAGAAGGAAGAAGAGAAGGGGAGGAGGAAGAGAAGGAAGAAGAGAAGGGGAGGAGGAGGAGGAAAAGGAGGAAGAGAAGGGGAAGGAAGAAGAAGGUGUCAUGAGGAAGGCAGAGGAGAAAUGACCAUGAGGCAGAAGGUCCAGGAGGAGUCACAAGGAGCAGGUCACCAAAGGAUUCUCCAUGAAUCAUUUUUUAUUAUAUUGCAAAAAAUGUAGUAGGCACAGCAGUGACAGAAGAACCAACUGCUUGCUCUUUAAUUUUUGUAGUACUGGACACUAAAUCCAUGGCUUUGCAGACACUAUGUGAGCACUCUGCCACUGAACUAUACCCACAUCCAUGUCUUCACUUUAAACCAGUAUCAUACACCUGCAACCCAGCAGGUAGAGACAGAAGGACUAGGAGUUUAAGGUCUAUCUCUACUACCUAGUGACUUGGAAGACUAUAUCCAAUUCACUCAGUUCCUAUGCAUGCAGGUAUGUAUCCAUGUAUGCCUGGGAAGAUGCUGGCUGCCAAGCCUGACAUCCUGAGUCCUAUUCCCAGGACCCACAUGUAGAAGGAAAGAAAGGUUGUCCUAUGACUCCACAUAUGUAUCAAUGCAUGUGUGCAUAUGGGCACCUGAACAAACACAAAUAAACAUUUAUAAUGAAAUCUGAAAACUACAUUAGGGUCUGGGAUGUGGUUCAGCCGUUAGAAUGCUUGCCUAACAUGCAGGAACACCUGAUUUAAAUCUCUAACACCAUAUAAAAUGGAGGAAUCCUAGCACUGAGGAGGUGGAGGCAGGAUGGUCUGAAGUUCAAGGUCAUCUUGAUUAUACAGCUAAGUGGAGGCCAGCCUGGGCCUGUCUUAGAAAGAAAACAAAUAGAGUGCCAUUGGUCAUAGACCAUGAAGAACCUCAUCCAGAGAUUCCUGUGUAGGAGUGUAUAUAAAGAUUUAUGUAUGGCUGCCUCUAGGUAAAAGGUGAAUCUGUCUUCAGUUGUAAAAGGGAUAAUUAUUGCGUAGAGGCAUUCCUAAAAUCACAGCUAUGGAAGAAGGCCAUGUGUGGGUAUUGAGAAGCUAAUGGUUAGUUUGUGGAGUGAUACGUGGCCGGUAAACAUUCUCAUCUCUAGUUUGAGAGUCAAAAUUCUAUCUUCCUUCCUGGGAGAGCAGAGUUAUGACCAUGACUGGCCAAUAAUAGCUAUCCUCCCUAGAACUUGAUUGGCUCAGGGAAAGGCAUAUGGUGUGAGUGGACCAGAUCAGAAGCAUUCCCUGGGAUUGACAGACUGACGCUGGGAAUAAAUUUGUUAAAGUGAGAGUAUGGGGUCUGGGCGUGUGGGCAGGCCCUAUACUGGGGGUAGGGUGGGAGUGGGGGUGGGGUUCCACAGCAGUGAAGACAGAAGCAGAGAAGCCAGGGGAAGAUGCUGCUGCUGAGGCCUGGGGCUAUGCUUGUAGCAGAAUCCCCUUUCCCUUGAGCUCUUUUUCUCCUUUACCUAUAUGUUGUUUUUUGUUUUGCUUUGCUUUUGUUUUUUUGAGACAGGGUUUCUCUGUAUAGCCCUGGCUGUCCUGGAACUCACUUUGUAGACCAGGCUAACCUCGAACUCAGAAAUCCCUCUGCCUCCCAAGUGCUGGGAUUAAAGGAGUGCGCCACCACGCCUGGCUCCUAUAUGUUGUUUAAGCUAGUAUAACCUUAACUUCUGCCCACCCCCUUUAAAUCACUGGAAAUAAAACCUAGAACUUCAUGUAUGAGAGAUAAGCGCCCUACCACCAAGCAUGUUUUAUAUUUAUUUAUUAAGACAGGAUUUUAUAGAUCUUGUAGAAAUCAUCCUGUCUCAGAAUCUCAAACACUGGGAUUACAGGGCUAACUCGUGCUCUACACACACACACACACACACACACACACACACACACACUCUCACACCACCUUUCGCUCUCCAGUCCAGGCUGAUCUUGAACCGGUGCUGAUGCUCCUGCUUCUGUUGGAUACACUUCUUCCUAGAUACACUUUUUCACUUUGUUAAAUACAGAAUCUCAUGCGUGCUAGACUAACCUGAAAGUUGCUACGUAACUGAAGAUGACAUUGAACCUAUCUGCCUUCACUUUUCCUGUGACAGGGUCACACGCAUGAUUCCCAGCCUACAGUUUUCCCCCAGAUAGGAUUUUUGUUUGUUUGUUUGUUUUUUUGAGACAGGGUUUCUCUGUAUAGCCCUGGCUGUCCUGGAACUCACUCUGGUCUACAGGCUGGCCUGGAACUCAGAAAUCCGCCUGCCUCUGCCUCCCGAGUGCUGGGAUUAAAGGCAUGCGGCACCACGCCCGGCUCCCCAGAUAGAAUCUUAUUGUAUAUCUCAGUGCUGCCAGAUAUUUGAUCACACUGUGAAACCCAAGACUGUGUUAUUACUGAAAAAAAAAAAAAGCAGUUUUUAGUUGUGGUGUGGCUCAGCCCUUAGCACAUAACUUUAGUCCCUCGGGCUGGACUAGAGACAUGCCCAAUCCAGUCAGAGGCUGAGAGAGAAGUCAGACUGAAUCCGUGUGGAGAGGAGUUUGAGUCAGAAUAACCAAGUUGACCGGCCAGCCACAGCUCAGAAAGAGCUGGAAGGAUGAGCUGAUUCAGCAACAAGUCUCAGAGCUGAAAACAUUCUGGGCAGAGAUAAGACUGUAGAGAGGCUAGAAGAUUCCAGGACCAGGCCUAGGUUAGCAAACUGAGGUAAAUAAAUUCUAUCAGGCAAAUAAAAGUUACUUUUACAUCUCAGGCUAACAAUCUUAUUUCAGCCUGGAUUUUUUUUUUCUUUCUUUUUGACUGUCGUGGAGCUCGAUUUGUAGACAAGGCAGGUCUUGAAUUCACAUAGAUCUGCUUGCCUCUGUCUCCUGAGUGCUGGGACUAAAGGGUUUGUACCACGACACCUGGCAGUUCCUACUUGGGGUUACUUGAUUGGAAUUACUGUCACGUGUUAGCAUGCCUGAUUUUAACUUAAAAAAAAAGAUUUAUUUAUAUGUACAUGUGUGUGUAUGUGUCUGUGUGGUUAUGUGUACCUAAGUACAGGUGCCCUUAAAAGUCAGAAGGAGGUGUUGAGUCCCUUGGAACUGGAGUUACUAGCAUUUGUAGGCCACUGGAUGUGGGUGCUGGGAACUGAACUCAGGUCCUCUGCAAAAGCAGUAAUUGCUUUCAAGUACUGGACCAUCUCUCCAGCCGCAUUAAUUUUUGUCUUGAUAUUGCAAAACUUUUGAUUAUAAAGUCUGCUGUCACUGGGCAUGAUAGCACACACCUUUAGUCCCAGCACUCAGGAGGAAAACAGAUCUCUGAGUAUAAAUAAGGCUAGCUAAGGAUGCAGUCAAACUAUAUUUUAAAAAGUGUGUUAAUGUACCUACUGCAAUGUCAUCUAUCUUUUAAAAGGAUUUCUACAGUUUAAUAGUUCUUUGCUAAGAACUGAGCAGGAUAGGAAUAAAAUCCACCCCCCCCCCUUUUUCUUGAGACCAGUUUUUACUGUAUACAGUCCUGACUGGCUUGUAACUGGAUCCAUAGACCUGGGUGAUCUUAUACUCACAGAGAUCUACAUCCCUCCGCCAAUGGUCAGCUGUAGGGCGUAGUCUCUAGUCUGGAAAAACUCUCCGUUCUCCAUUCUGUCUGUGGCUAGCCUCUGGUAAUUCCCUUUUGGCAAUGUAGGUAUGGCUCAUGUGAUUAUGGGGACUGACAAGUCUGAAAUAGGCAACAAUGACCAGCCACACAGUAUACAAGUACUGGCUUCUCCACCUCCAUACAGUAAAUACUCGUAAAAAAACAAAAGGAGAGGCGGAGCUGGGAGUGGUGGUGCAAAACCUGUAAUGCCAGCAACUGGGAGGCUGAAGUAGGAGUUCCAAACCAGCCAGUCAGCCAGAACCAACCUCAAUAGCACACUUCCCUGCUGGGUGGUUGAGCACAUACGUGUCAGACUGCUUCUAAAAGCAUGGCGAUGCUCAAAGGAUACAUAGCCAGUCCUGAGCACCUGCAGAGGGAAGCCGGAGGCACUCGCGGUCCACACCCCUUCUCCCUCGAGCAUUUGCGGUCCAGCAAGGGCAAGGCGGAGCGACAGGUCAAAAAGUAGCGCCAAGUUACAUUAGUUGCUUACUGCAGGCAGGUGGGAUCAUUGGGAGGACCCGGAAGGAGGGCAGGUUUGACUGAAUGGCUGGCCAACAGUUUGACAGAGCUGCUUGGCACCUGCCAGAAAACCCAGCCAAAAGCAGAGCGCCCGCCCCUUUUGGCCACGCCCACCCUUCUCAUGACCGGACCCCCGCCCAGCUCAGGGAACCCACUGGUCACAGUAUUUCCGGUUCCAAUCUCCCAACCGGCUUCCGUCGCCAUCAGCCCCCGCCCCGCCCCUACUGCCUCUUUGACACAGUCACGUGAGGCGUGCUCGCAGGGCCUGCCGGGAGUAGUACUGCCGGCGGGUCGGGGUUCGGCCCAACAUGGCGGUUCCUGUCGGACAGUGACCAAGGCUUUGCCGUAGGGAGGACCGAGCGGCGGCGGUCGGUGUCCCCACCUGCCAGAGUGGGAUGCAAAGCCUCUGGGAGCGCUGAGCGGAGGCAGGGACGGGCUCAGGCCCCGAAAGCCGAAGCCCGGGCAGCUACGCACAGUCGGCUGCAGGCUCCGGAGUGGGGCCGCGCCCGGCCGGGCAGGCGACGGCGGCGGCGGCUGCGGCAAGCUCGGCUCCGAGGCGGGGCGGAGGCCGGGUGCCUGGCCGCGGCCAUGGCCCAGUGCGUGCAGUCGGUGCAGGAGCUCAUCCCCGACUCCUUCGUCCCCUGCGUCGCCGCGCUGUGCAGCGACGAAGCCGAGCGGCUCACCCGCCUCAACCACCUCAGCUUCUCCGAGCUGCUCAAGCCCUUCUCUCGCCUCACUUCCGAAGUUCACAUGAGAGAUCCUAAUAAUCAACUGCAUAUAAUUAAAAAUUUGAAGAUAGCAGUAAGCAACAUUGUCACCCAGCCACCUCAGCCGGGAGCCAUUGGGAAGCUUUUGAAUGAUGUUGUUUCUGGCAGCCAGCCUGCAGAAGGAUUAGUCGCUAAUGUGAUUACAGCAGGAGAUUAUGACCUUAACAUAAGUGCUACUACUCCAUGGUUUGAGUCUUACAGAGAGACCUUUCUGCAGUCCAUGCCAGCAUCAGAUCAUGAGUUUCUGAAUCACUAUUUAGCAUGUAUGCUGGUGGCAUCGUCUGGUGAAGCUGAGCCUAUGGAACAGUUUUCAAAGUUGUCACAGGAACAGCAUCGAAUUCAGCACAACAAUGAUUAUUCCUAUCCUAAGUGGUUUAUCCCAAAUACACUUAAAUAUUACGUGCUUUUGCAUGAUGUAACUUCAGGAGAUGAACAAAGGGCUGAAUCAAUUUAUGAAGAAAUGAAACAGAAAUAUGGAACUCAGGGUUGCUAUUUACUUAAAAUCAAUUCUCGAGCACCAAAUCGAGCAUCAGAUGAACAGAUACCAGAUCCGUGGAGUCAGUAUCUCCAGAAAAAUAGUAUUCAAAACCAGGAAUCAUAUGAAGAUGGCCCUUGUACUAUGACCUCCAGUAAGAAUUCUGAUAGUAACUUGCUUUCAUUGGAUGGACUAGAUAACGAAGUCAAAGUAGAUGGCCUACCAAAUAACUUCAGAAUUCAUCCACUUCAAAUAGACCAAUGCGGUGACCCUCCUAACAAUACUGACGGCUCAGAGUCAAAGUCUGCUUCUUCAGUUCACGAGACAAAGAAAGCAAGUACUGCAGUGAUUCGUGGUGCUUGCUUAACACUCACUGACCAUGAUAGAAUCCGACAGUUUAUACAAGAGUUUACAUUCCGUGGCCUUUUGCCACACAUAGAGAAAACAAUUCGUCAGUUAAAUGAUCAGCUAAUAUCAAGGAAAGGUUUGAGUCGAUCUCUGUUUUCUGCCACUAAGAAAUGGUUUAGUGGUAGUAAAGUUCCAGAAAAGAGCAUUAAUGAGCUGAAGAAUACAUCUGGGUUGUUGUAUCCGCCAGAAGCGCCCGAGCUUCAGAUCAGGAAGAUGGCUGACUUGUGCUUCUUGGUGCAACAUUAUGAUUUGGCUUACAGUUGUUAUCACACUGCAAAGAAGGAUUUUCUUAACGAUCAAGCAAUGCUUUAUGCAGCAGGUGCCUUGGAAAUGGCAGCAGUGUCAGCCUUUCUUCAGCCAGGAGCUCCUAGGCCAUACCCUGCUCAUUACAUGGACACAGCAAUUCAGACAUACAGGGAUAUCUGCAAGAAUAUGGUGUUGGCUGAAAGAUGUGUGUUGCUUAGUGCUGAAAUUUUAAAAAGUCAAAGCAAGUACUCAGAGGCUGCAGCUCUUCUGAUACGAUUGACAAGUGAGCAGAACACAUGGAAGGGCCUGGAUUCUGAUCUCCGAAGUGCCCUUCUUUUGGAACAGGCUGCACAUUGCUUCAUAAACAUGAAGAGUCCCAUGGUUAGAAAAUACGCAUUUCAUAUGAUCCUGGCAGGCCACCGUUUUAGUAAAGCAGGGCAGAAAAAGCAUGCUUUGCGCUGCUAUUGUCAAGCCAUGCAAGUUUACAAAGGAAAGGGCUGGUCUCUGGCAGAGGAUCACAUCAACUUCACCAUUGGGCGCCAGUCCUAUACUCUGAGGCAGCUGGACAAUGCUGUUUCUGCUUUUAGACACAUUUUAAUCAAUGAAAGCAAACAGUCUGCUGCUCAGCAAGGAGCCUUCCUCAGAGAAUAUCUUUAUGUUUAUAAGAAUGUAAAUCAGCUGUCACCAGAUGGCCCUUUACCACAGCUUCCCUUACCAUACAUUAACAGUUCAGCAACACGGGUUUUCUUCGGCCAUGACAGACGACCAGCAGAUGGUGAAAAGCAAGCGGCUACUCAUAUAAGUCUUGAUCAAGAAUAUGACUCUGAGUCAUCCCAGCAGUGGCGGGAACUUGAGGAACAUGUUGUGGCUGUGGCUAAUAAAGGAGUAAUUCCAUCCAGUUUCUAUCCUACACAGUAUUGUCUGAACAGUUACUCCGAUAACUCCAGGUUUCCACUUGCAGUUGUAGAAGAGCCAAUUACUGUGGAAGUGGCUUUUAGAAACCCUUUAAAAGUUCCGCUUUUGCUGUCUGAUUUGUCAUUACUCUGGAAGUUUCAGCCUAAAGAUGCCAGUGGGAAAGACAUUGAAAAAGUGAAAGAACGAGUUACAGGUGAACCUGAAAUGAUUGGAACUGAAGUUAUUUCAGAAUUCUUAAUUAACAGUGAAGAAUCUAAAGUGGCAAGACUGAAGCUCUUUCCCCAUCACAUAGGGGAGCUGCACAUUCUGGGAGUUGUGUAUAAUCUUGGCACUAUUCAGGGCUCCGGGACAGUAGAUGGCAUUGGUGCUCUUCCUGGAUGUCACACAGGAAAACAUUCUCUGAGUAUGUCAGUACGAGGGAGACAGGAUUUAGAAAUUCAAGGCCCUCGACUUAACAACACAAAGGAAGAGAAGACAUCUGUAAAGUACGGUCCUGACCGACGUUUAGAUCCUAUAGUCACAGAGGAGAUGCCGCUGCUGGAGGUGUUCUUUAUACAUUUUCCUACAGGGCUCCUCUGUGGAGAAAUCCGAAAAGCAUAUGUAGAGUUUGUCAAUGUCAGCAAAUGUCCUCUGACUGGACUGAAAGUUGUGUCUAAACGUCCAGAGUUCUUCACUUUUGGUGGCAAUACCGCUGCUCUAACACCACUGAGCCCCUCCACAUCUGAGAACUGCAGUGCCUAUAAGACGGUUGUAACAGCUUCCCCCUCCUUGGGAACAGCACUUGUGUCAACAGCAUCAUCUAUGGACUUUGGAACUGGCACCGGACAGCAGCUGGAGGCCAUUCCUGUCCCCCUUCCUGACUCCGUGCUGCUCCCCGGAGCUUCCAUCCAGCUGCCAAUGUGGCUUCGUGGGCCAGACGAAGAGGGUGUCCAUGAAAUUAACUUUUUAUUUUACUAUGAAAGUGUUAAAAAGCAGCCUAAAAAACGACACAGAAUAUUAAGACACACUGCAGUUAUUUGUACUAGCCGGUCUUUGAAUGUGCGAGCGACUGUCUGCAGAAGUAAUUCACUUGAAGAUGAAGAAGGCAGGGGCGGCAAUAUGCUAGUCUUCGUGGAUGUAGAAAAUACUAAUACUAGUGAAGCGGGGGUUAAGGAGUUCCACAUGGUGCAGGUGUCAAGCAGUAGCAAGCACUGGCAGCUACACAAGUCCGUGAAUAUCUCCGAAAACAAAGAUGCCAAGCUUGCCAGUAGGGAGAAGGGAAAGUUUUGCUUCAAGGCAGUAAGAUGUAAACAAAAAGAAGGUGGUAUACAGUCCUCAGAAAAAUACACCUUUGCAGAUAUCAUCUUUGGAAAUGAACAGAUAAUAAGUUCAGCAAGUCCGUGUGCAGAUUUCUUUUACCGAAGUUUAUCCUCAGAGUUGAAGAAAACACAGGAUCAGCUUUCUGCGUAUCCAGAGAAACACAGAGAAGCCACAGAGGGUGCUGUGAGGCUGGUUGAGAAGUGCAGUGAGGUGGACCUGAGCAUCGUCAUCCUAUGGAAGGUGGUACACUGUGGGCAGCAGGCCAGCGUAAGGCCUUUAUGGCUUCUUUUCAUCUUACAGUUUAAGACUGGGUCUUUCUGUCUAGCGCAGGUGGGCUUCAAACUCUGUACUCUUGCUUUAGCUUUGUGAGUGCUGGAAAUACAGGUGUAUACCAUCCCACCCAGCCUGGAUAGCCAGCCAGCCAGCCUAGAAUUUAUUAUAUAGACCAGGCUGGCCUUGAAUUUACAGAAAUCAAUCUUUCUGGGAUAAAGAUGUACAUUACUACAGACACCUGCCUGCCUUUCUCUCUCCCUCCCUCCCUCCCUCCCUCCCUCCCUUCCUUCCUUCCUCCUUUCUUUUUCUUCCCCCCUCCUUUUUUUUUUUUUCUUAUUUGGUUUUUUUCAAGACAGGGUUUCUCUGUGUAGCCCUGGCUGUCCUGGCACUCACUCUGUAGACCAGGCCGGCCUCAAACUCAGAAAUCUGCCUGCCUCUGUCUCCCGAGUGCUGGGAUUAAAGGCAUGUGCCACCACUGCCCCACUGUUUUAUAACUUAAUAGCUCCACAAUGACUUUUUGAAUGUUUUUGUCUAAAGAAAAGAAUUCAAUAAGAACAGAUGGUUUUCUUCUAUUGGUUAGUGUUGUUUCUUUGUGUCACCAAGAAUAUUGUGGCCAUACAGGUCUAUGAAAGCAGGUGCUGUUAAACUCUUCUGUCAUGAGCAAUUCCAGACACUAUCAAGAGAGAAGUUGCUCUGUGAGUCUGUGGGUGCUCAGUCUCCUGGACUUGUUGCUGUUUGUGCUCCAUCUUUUGUGUGCCUUUUCUCCCUUUUUAUCUUUUUUCCUUAUUUACUUAUUGGUACUAGAAGUAGUUUAUAUUUUUGUAAACAUGCUGACUUUGCAUGAACCUCAAAUGAGCCACUGCUUAAAUAAGGUGCCUCUUAAUCGCAAAAUGUGUUUUAUGUCUAAAAAAAGACUACUUGUGCAUUGUUAUGUAUUAGCUUGAAAUUGUAAGCUCUUGAGUGGCCCUUGAUGCACUUAAAGUAAGAGUUUGAGUAAUACAUGCUCUAAUCUGUACUCAACUGUCAAGUCCACGGUGACCUUGGUUGAGAAGAAAAUUUUACUUUUCCCAAAAUGGCCCAUUGAUCACAUGUAAAGGAAGAUAUGUAAUCCUGAUGGAAAGUAGAGGUUACAUGUGUUAAAGACUAUGAUACAAAGCUUGGUGGUAGUUAGUACCUGGAGCUGCAUUUACACUGAGUUGAGAAAAUGUCUAUAAAUUAAAAGAGAAUUUAAGAUACCUUAUCCCCUUCUGUUUUCAGUUUUUAUUUUUCUCACAGGAUCUUACAUUAUCAAGGUUGGCCUUUAGCUCCUGAUCCUUCCCAUGCCUCCCAACUCCUGGGAUUACAGGCAUACGUUGUAGAAGAUAACAAGCAGCUUAUUUUAGAAGGCCAGCAUCACGUUGUUGUUCGCACUGUUGGGAAAGAAGCCUUUUCACACUCUCAGAAAGAGGAGCCACCAGAAAUGGAACUAUUAAAGUUUUUCAGGCCAGAAAACACUACAGUUUCCACAAGACCAUCAGUAGAGCAGCUUUCUAAUCUCAUUAAAACAAGUCUCCACUAUCCGGAGUCAUUUCACCAUCCAUUUCAUCAGAAAAGCCUUUGCUUAGUCCCAGUCACCCUUUUACUUUCUAACUGUUCUAAGGCUGAUGUAGACGUAAUAGUUGAUCUCCGGCAUAAAACAACAAGUCCUGAGGCACUGGAAACUCACGGAUCAUUCACGUGGCUUGGACAGACACAGUAUAAGCUCCAGCUGAAAAGCCAAGAGAUGCACAGUUUGCAGCUGAAGGCAUGCUUUGUUCAUACAGGCGUUUAUAACCUUGGAACUCCAAGAGUAUUCGCCAAGUUAUCGGACCACGUUACAGUAUUUGAAACAAGUCAGCAGAACUCCAUGCCUGCUCUGAUUAUCAUCAAUAACGCGUGACAACUCAGAGUCACAGACUCAGUUUGACUUUGUGGAAUUGGUUUUACAGCAGCAUUUGAAAUACCCAACUUGUUAAGGAAGUUCUCUGAUCACUGCAAAAUACAGGGACUUGGCACUUAGUUGACACAGUACUCUGGGCUGAGAAUGUGUAGACUGCAUUUUUUUUUUUCCUUUUAAACCUGGUUAUAAUUUAUAUUCUUAUAAUACAGAAUUCAACGUAUCCAUAAACCUUAUUAAGCCGUGUCUUAAAAAAAAGUCCAAGUCUGCUGUUGCAACUUAUCGGACGGUUGACUCCUAGAAGGUGAUUUUGAGGAAUGAAAAGCCUUGCUGGCAAUACUCCUGUUAAGCCAUUAGUCUAAAGAUCCUACCUUUACUGUGAAAUUCUAUAGAGUGUUAAAUACAAAUUUUCCUGGCUUGCCCCAAACAGUUCUGUAAGACCAGUUUUGAACGCUGGUUAUAGACACUCACAUUUCAGUGUGGUGUCCCUAUGGCUUAUACAUAACUGUAAAAACAAAAAGCUUUUCUGAUGCUUUGAACAUAGUUUUGGAAGGAGGUCAACUUUAUUCCUUUGCUCAUCUCUUACUGUCACACUAUUUCACAAUAAGAUUUUUGUCAUUAAAUCAUAUUCUUUAUUAUAAUAACUUUAACAAUUAAGUUGAUCUGUUUAAAAUAUAAAUCUAUUCAAGUUAAAAAUAAGCUUUUCAAAAAUGUAUUAUAUUUAUAACAAAUUUACUGUAAAUAGAAUAAAGACAUACUAUUCACUGUAUAAAUUUAUUAGAUGCCUUUUUUAAAACCUGGCUUUGUGAGGACUUAAUAUAUUCUUUAUUUAAAAUAAAUGUCAAACAUGUACAGUAGGCACUAGCCUA